This 69-nucleotide transfer RNA is filed under the name Kamimuria wangi. RNAcentral's name for it is "tRNA-Gln". It matches the Rfam family "tRNA". Rfam says of the family: Transfer RNA (tRNA) molecules are approximately 80 nucleotides in length. The record is from RNAcentral. Lineage: Eukaryota; Metazoa; Arthropoda; Insecta; Plecoptera; Perlidae.
UAUGUUCUAGUGUAAGAUGCACGUUAGUUUUUGAUACUUUAGGAAAUAGUUUAAAUCUAUUGGACAUAA